UUGAGAAGCUCCGGUGCGCUCACACGCACAGAAUCUGCCGAAAGCGCAGGAGGCGCACGGGAAGUGCUUCUGCAGCCGUGAAGAUCGGAGCAGAUCUCCGGAUUAUUCGCCGUGCUUUUCUUUUCUCUUCUCAUUCUCGGAUCCCAGUUAUUUCCAGUCUGUUAGGCUUUAAAGAGCCAGUAUAGAGCUUCUAUUUGUGGUGGAAAGAGUGGUGUGAGGAGGAAAGCGCACGGUUCUUCACCUGGCUGAAGAGCACAGGAGUGUGAAGGAAAAGGGUGUUGUUCCGUCAGUGGGAUGGUAGAAGGGUGGAGUGGAGUCCAGGCUGAAGGAGCAUGGUGAAACACCAACCGCUGCAGGUCUAUGAGAGACAACUGUGCUUGUCCUGUCUAACAGGGAUCUACGGUUGCCGCUGGAAACGUUACCAGCGCUCACACGAUGACACCACAAAGUGGGAGUGUAUGUGGACCCUCGUCCUCUUCGGGACGUUCACGCUGCUGCUGCUCUGGCUUUACUUCUGGUUGGAGGCGAGCAAUGACUACGGCGAAUUUAACUGGUAUUUAUAUAACCAGUCAGGCGAGUGGAGUGAUGGAACAGUUCCCAUACUGGCCACAACAGCUGCAGGCUUCACUUAUAUUGCAUUUUUAAUGAUUUUGGCUCUGUGUCACAUUGCAGUUGGACAGCAGCUGAACUUGCACUGGAUUCACAAGAUCGGCGUGAGCGCAGCUUUACUGACCACCGUCAUCGGCAUGAUAUCCGUCAGUCAGCUAUGGAGCGAAGAGUGGGAUAUCUUUUCCAUCUCUCUACAAGCCACAGGACCAUUCCUGCACAUCGGUGCUCUUGCUGCAGUUACAGCAUUGGCUUGGCUGGUGGCUGGACAAGUUGCUCGAGCCGAGAAAACCAAAUUUCAGGUAACGGUCGUGCUCAUCUACCUGGUGGUGCUUCUGAGCCUCUACCUGACCCCGCUGUCCAUCACGUCACCCUGCAUCAUGGAGCGACACAACCUUAAAGCAAGGCCUGUUGUCAUUGGCCAGCGUGGGGCUCCGAUGCUGGCUCCAGAGAACACGUUGCUGUCUUUUCACAAAGCUCUGCAGAAGGACGUGAGUGGCUUGGAGGCCGAGGUGGCCAUCAGUCUAGAUGGAGUACCAUUCCUGAUGAGAGAUCGCACCCUGAGGAGAACCACAAAUGUGAGAAAAGUCUUUCCUGACAGGCAGAACACUGAUGCAUCAUUCUUCAACUGGACCGAACUGAGCAUGCUCAAUGCUGGCCAGUGGUUUCUAAAGGAUGACCCCUACUUUACAGUGCAGUACAUGUCUAAGCAACAGCAAUUUGAAGUUGGGAAUCAGUCAGUGUGCAGUCUGGAGCAGAUGUUACAGCUAGCAGCUCGCUCCAACCGCUCAGCCCUGUUCACCCUCCACCGUCCUCCACCGGGGCAUCCACACACCCUGAGCUGGAUCAACCUCACCCUGACCUCCAUCCUGCACUCUGGCAUCCCUCAACACCAGGUGGUGUGGAGUGUGGACUGGAACAGAGAGAUGGUACAACAGCAGGCUCCAGGCUUCCAGCAGAUAUCCACUAAGAUAGAGACGCUGGAGAAUCUCCAUGAGAAAGGCAUCAGUAGAUUAUUGCUGCGCUACAACCAUGUCAGCAAUAAGGAUAUACAGAUGUACACAGCUGGUAACGUGAGCGUGACUCUGUACACCGUGAACAAGCCGUGGUUAUACUCUGUACUUUGGUGUAGCGGCGUGUCGUCCGUCUCCUCUGAAGCACCGCAGAUCCUCCGGAAAGUUCUAUCACCUCUGUGGCUGAUGAGUCCAGAGGAGUACUGCCUGAUUUGGGUCGCCACAGAUCUCGUCUCUUUCGCUCUGGUCCUGGGGAUUUUCGUCUUUCAGAACUAUCACAUGAUCAGGUGGAGGAUGAGUGGUAUGCAUAAGUACAACCCGGAGCAGAUCAUGCUGAGUGCCGCUGUUAGGAGGUCAAGCCGAGACGUCAACAUCAUGAAGGAGAAGCUCAUCUUCUCUGGUCAGCAACAGUAGCAGUUUAACCCCAGAUGUAACCCUUCAUCUUCACCUUAUCUCCUAUCCUGCAUCAUCCUCAUCCAUCCUGCACCUCCCUGCUCCACCCUGAACCGUCCUCAACCAUCCUGAUCCACCAUGCACCAACCUCCUUUAUCCUCAACUCUCCUUCUCCACCCCGCACCAUUCUGAAAAAAAAUUCUCAACCAUCCUGCACCAGCUUGAGCCAUCUUCUCAUUACCUCUCACUGCAUCCAUCCAUCCAUCCAUCCAUCCAUCCAUCCAUCCAUCCAUCCAUCCAGUCGUAGCUCAUAAAUGGCUCUGGUUGCCCUGACCAGUGCUCUUUUCAUGAGGUCAGCGAUGGGGUCGGCUGUGAGGAAAACGGGUUCGACUGCUACACCAAUCAGGGCAUUCACUGAAUCCCACA
This is an RNA transcript of Silurus meridionalis, 2438 nucleotides long. It is a transcript of the gene named glycerophosphodiester phosphodiesterase domain containing 5b, with no coding region annotated. The record is from RefSeq and is a predicted model, not a curated record. NCBI's taxonomy places the organism in Eukaryota, Metazoa, Chordata, Actinopteri, Siluriformes, Siluridae. The transcript is spliced from 18 exons.